Long non-coding RNA from Felis catus (domestic cat), 1546 nucleotides. RefSeq lists it as uncharacterized. The record is from RefSeq and is a predicted model, not a curated record. NCBI's taxonomy places the organism in Eukaryota, Metazoa, Chordata, Mammalia, Carnivora, Felidae. The transcript is spliced from 3 exons.
ACUUGAAAAGGUUGAAAACCAGCAUUGUAAUUAGUUUGUCAGUUCGAAACACCGGACUUUCGACUUCACAUUUACUUGGCGCAGUCCUAUCUACCCCAGGUAGGACUUCCUAUUCUGAAACAGCUUCUAAAAUGAGAGCGCUCCCCACCCCUCACGCCAUUGCUAACCCGAACGCGAAUGUGUGGGCCCACUGAGGUCAUGCCGUAGCUCGGGGAAGGCGAGCUCAGACUCGCUGCACUCAGUGCAGGCUUGGGGACGGUUCUCCCUGAAAUGUCUCUGGAAUUUAACUUCCCUGCGAAGGAGGAGGUGGUGGGGAAAAGGGGGAAAAUGCGCCAGUGUUUUUCCUCAGCCCCCGCCCCUGCCGGUCACUUCCAGCUCACAGCCAAGAAGCCAGGCGUGCCGCAGGACGGCUGAGCCUUGGCCUUACUGCUGAGCGACAGAGACACCGGAACAUCCGUCAGCCGAGAGCUGACGAAGGGCGAGAGGAACGUCAACGCAUCACGCGCACUUGUGAGACCCCCCCCCCCACAAAAUAUAAGUGACACCUGGCUCGUUCUUCUCGUGGAACGUCAGUGCCCUUUGACAGAGGUUUUUCACACUUUCCCAGGAAAGUAAACUGAAAGCCACUCUGUUUGGGAUCCACGCCCCAAAGGGACAACUUCACACGGGGUGGUGCUGUUUGCUCGGCUGCGAGAGACACACGAAUGCAGGGAAGAUUCUGAGGCCCACUGAGAGCUGUUAUUGUGUGAAACUAUUAACCAGGGGAAAACGCUGGGUGUGUGUGUGGGGGGGGGUGGGGGGGUGGGUGUUAUGACAACACUCAAGAUGAGUUCUGCCCUCUUGACAAAUCUUUAAGUGUAUAAUACGGUACUAAUUACAGGCAGGAUGAUGUACAGAUCUCCAGAACUCACUUGCCUGACUGGAACUCUGCACACCGAACAGCGACUCCCUGUCCCCCCCCCCCCCCCCCCAGCCCCUGGCAACCACCGUUCUAUUCCAGCUUCUAUGAGGUGGAGUAUUCUAGAUGCCUCAAGUAAGUGGAAUCAUGCAGCAUCUGUAUGGAGGGUCUAGUAGGGAACAUAACAUGUAGUUCGUACCAUGUCUGUGUACUUUAAAUACCUCGUGACAGAUGAAGGCCAACAAGGGACUACAGCUCCUUCUAGAAGCCCUGCUGUUUCUCUACACACUUGGACCUUAUCUGAUACCUAUUCCUUCUAGAUGUGACACAGACCAGGAAGAAACAGGCCCCCGCCAGCAUCGACAGGAACAGAAAGAGUCCCACAGCAAUCACGAUGAUUUGCUGGACUUUUGUGGCGGCUGAAAAGAUGACGCGGAAGUAAACAAGAGGCCCGUCCCACCCGUGGUACAAACGUCGGUAAUUUCUCACCUGCCAACCGCUUAGAGAGAGGUCGUUUCCUAGUAAAACCGGGCCGACGCUGCCCCUCCCCCGCCCAGCCUCACAUGCGUAGAUGACUAGCCAGGAAAGGCAAUCCUAAAAUAAAGCAGCGUUAGCUGGUGCUGUUAUUACGGUAGAUCUCAGCAUGAA